CAUGCAAGUCGUACGAGAAAGUCCGCUUCGGUGGAUCAGUAAAGUGGCGCACGGGUGAGUAACGCGUGGAUAAUCUACCCCUCAGUUGGGAAUAACGUACCGAAAGGUGCGCUAAUACCGAAUGACACUGCACAUCUUCUGUUGUGUAGUCAAAGAUGGCCUCUGCUUGCAAGCUUUCGCUGAAGGAUGAGCCCGCGUACCAUUAGCUAGUUGGUAGGGUAAUGGCCUACCAAGGCGACGAUGGUUAGCUGGUCUGAGAGGAUGAUCAGCCACACUGGAACUGAGACACGGUCCAGACUCCUACGGGAGGCAGCAGUGAGGAAUAUUGCGCAAUGGGGGCAACCCUGACGCAGCAACGCCGCGUGAGUGAGGAAGGUUUUCGGACCGUAAAGCUCUGUCGAGCGGGAAGAAAUGCAUGGUGGCUAAUAUCCAUCAUGCUUGACGGUACCGCUAAAGGAAGCACCGGCUAACUCCGUGCCAGCAGCCGCGGUAAUACGGGGGGUGCUAGCGUUGUUCGGAAUCAUUGGGCGUAAAGAGCGUGUAGGCGGCUGGAUAAGUCAGAUGUGAAAGCCCUGGGCUUAACCCAGGAAGUGCAUUUGAAACUGUUCAGCUAGAGUAAGGGAGAGGAAAGUGGAAUUCCUGGUGUAGAGGUGAAAUUCGUAGAUAUCAGGAGGAACACCGGUGGCGAAGGCGACUUUCUGGCCCUAUACUGACGCUGAGACGCGAGAGCGUGGGUAGCAAACAGGAUUAGAUACCCUGGUAGUCCACGCUGUAAACGAUGUUCACUAGGUGUUGGGGGUAUUGACCCUCUCAGUGCCGCAGCUAACGCAUUAAGUGAACCGCCUGGGGAGUACGGUCGCAAGAUUAAAACUCAAAGGAAUUGACGGGGGCCCGCA
This 896-nucleotide ribosomal RNA is filed under the name uncultured Smithella sp. RNAcentral describes it as "bacterial SSU rRNA". It matches the Rfam family "Bacterial small subunit ribosomal RNA", at positions 54 to 925 of the family's 1533-position model. Lineage: Bacteria; Pseudomonadati; Thermodesulfobacteriota; Syntrophia; Syntrophales; Smithellaceae. The record is from RNAcentral.